GACGAACGCUGGCGGCGUGCUUAACACAUGCAAGUCGAACGGAAAGGCCCUGCUUUUGUGGUGUGCUCGAGUCGCGAACGUGUGUGUAACACGUGAGUACCCUGCCGUUGUUUUUGGUAUAACUUCAGGACAGUGGGGCUUAUCCGGGAUAGGAGCUCCUGCUGCAGGGUGGGGGUUGGAUUGUUUCGGCGGUUGGGGACGGACGGGCGGCUAGUCGGCUUGUUGGGGGGGUAGUGGCUUACCAAGGCUGUGAUGGGUAGCCGGCCGGGGGGGGUGACCGGCCACAUGGGGAUUGGAAUACGGCCCAACCCCCUACGGGAGGCAGCAGGGGGAAAAAUGGCACAAGGGGCGGAGGCCGGUGGCAGCAACGCCGCGUGCGGGAUGACGGCCUUCGGGUGGUAAACCGCUUUCGCAGGGGACGAAGCGUGAGGGACGGUAACCGGUAAAGGAGCACCGGCUAACUACGUG
This 468-nucleotide ribosomal RNA is filed under the name uncultured bacterium. RNAcentral describes it as "partial 16S ribosomal RNA". It matches the Rfam family "Bacterial small subunit ribosomal RNA", at positions 28 to 507 of the family's 1533-position model. The record is from RNAcentral.